RNAcentral lists this ribosomal RNA (414 nucleotides) under Firmicutes bacterium G6-4. RNAcentral describes it as "bacterial SSU rRNA". It matches the Rfam family "Bacterial small subunit ribosomal RNA", at positions 953 to 1365 of the family's 1533-position model. Lineage: Bacteria; Bacillati; Bacillota. The record is from RNAcentral.
UAUCGAGCACGCGAGACCUUACAGGUCUUGACAUCCUCUGCCACUUCUAGAGAUAGAAGGUUCCCCUUCGGGGGACAGAGUGACAGGUGGUGCAUGGUUGUCGUCAGCUCGUGUCGUGAGAUGUUGGGUUAAGUCCCGCAACGAGCGCAACCCUUGAUCUUAGUUGCCAGCAUUCAGUUGGGCACUCUAAGGUGACUGCCGGUGACAAACCGGAGGAAGGUGGGGAUGACGUCAAAUCAUCAUGCCCCCUUAUGACCUGGGCUACACACGUGCUACAAUGGAUGGUACAAAGGGCAGCGAAACCGCGAGGUUCAGCGAAUCCCAUAAAACCAUUCUCAGUUCGGAUUGCAGGCUGCAACUCGCCUGCAUGAAGCCGGAAUCGCUAGUAAUCGCGGAUCAGCAUGCCGCGGUGAC